Molecule: ribosomal RNA, 253 nt
Filed under: uncultured bacterium
Lineage: Bacteria
Description: partial 16S ribosomal RNA
Rfam family: Bacterial small subunit ribosomal RNA
Source: RNAcentral
UACAGGGGGUGCGAGCGUUAUUCGGAUUUAUUGGGCGUAAAGAGCGUGUAGGUGGUCUGUUAAGUCUGAUGUGAAAUCCCUGGGCUCAAUCCAGGAAGUGCAUUGGAUACUGAUAGACUAGAGUGUAGGAGAGGUAAGCGGAAUUCCCGGUGUAGAGGUGAAAUUCGUAGAUAUCGGGAGGAACAACAGAGGCGAAGGCGGCUUACUGGACUACUACUGACACUAAGGCGCGAAAGCAUGGGGAGCAAACAGG